This 170-nucleotide ribosomal RNA is filed under the name uncultured bacterium. RNAcentral's name for it is "partial 16S ribosomal RNA". It matches the Rfam family "Bacterial small subunit ribosomal RNA", at positions 337 to 502 of the family's 1533-position model. The record is from RNAcentral.
UCCUACGGGAGGCAGCAGUGGGGAAUUUUGGACAAUGGGCGCAAGCCUGAUCCAGCCAUGCCGCGUGCGGGAAGAAGGCCUUCGGGUUGUAAACCGCUUUCGUCAGGGAAGAAAUAGCUUGGGUUAAUACCCCGAGUAAUGACGUACCUAAAGAAUAAGGCCCCCAGAUU